Molecule: ribosomal RNA, 467 nt
Filed under: uncultured bacterium
Lineage: Bacteria
Description: partial 16S ribosomal RNA
Rfam family: Bacterial small subunit ribosomal RNA
Source: RNAcentral
GACGAACGCUGGCGGCGUGCUUAACACAUGCAAGUCGAACGGAAAGGCCCUGCUUUUGUGGGGUGCUCGAGUGGCGAACGGGUGAGUAACACGUGAGUAACCUGCCCUUGACUUUGGGAUAACUUCAGGAAACUGGGGCUAAUACCGGAUAGGAGCUCCUGCUGCAUGGUGGGGGUUGGAAAGUUUCGGCGGUUGGGGAUGGACUCGCGGCUUAUCAGCUUGUUGGUGGGGUAGUGGCUUACCAAGGCUUUGACGGGUAGCCGGCCUGAGAGGGUGACCGGCCACAUUGGGACUGAGAUACGGCCCAGACUCCUACGGGAGGCAGAAGUGGGGAAUAUGGCACAAUGGGCGGAAGCCUGAUGCAGCAACGCCGCGUGCGGGAGGACGGCCUUCGGGUGGUAAACCGCUUUCGCCUGUGACGAAGCGUGAGUGACGGUAAUGGGGAAAGAAGCACCGGCGAACUACGU